Molecule: ribosomal RNA, 254 nt
Filed under: uncultured bacterium
Lineage: Bacteria
Description: partial 16S ribosomal RNA
Rfam family: Bacterial small subunit ribosomal RNA
Source: RNAcentral
CACGUAGGGAGCAAGCGUUGUCCGGAUUUAUUGGGCGUAAAGAGCUCGUAGGUGGUUCGGUAAGUCAGGUGUGAAACCUCCAGGCUCAACCUGGAGACGCCACUUGAUACUGCUGUGACUGGAGCCCGGUAGGGGAGCGUGGAAUUCCUGGUGUAGCGGUGAAAUGCGCAGAUAUCAGGAGGAACACCAAUGGCGAAGGCAGCUCGCUGGGACGGUACUGACGCUGAGACGCGAAAGCGUGGGGAGCAAACAGG